RNAcentral lists this long non-coding RNA (358 nucleotides) under Manihot esculenta (cassava). Its description in RNAcentral is "long non-coding RNA (MESC_LNC000915)". The record is from RNAcentral. Lineage: Eukaryota; Viridiplantae; Streptophyta; Magnoliopsida; Malpighiales; Euphorbiaceae.
GCCGCUCCUACAACGGCCAAAACAGCACCGUUUCUGUUCAAACCAGCUCCGCUGGGGGCGUUCUCAGCAGGAGUCAAUGCAUUCGGAGGCAGAGCCACUGAUGGACCUGAGGUGGGGGUGGGAGCUGAAGGAGCAGGAGGAGAGCUGGUAGGUGCCGAGGUUGGGACUGCAGCUGCGGCUGGGACAGUAGCGGCAGGAGCAGGAGCCGAGGUAGGUGGCGUUUGAGUCGGAGCUUGAGUGGGAGCAGGCGUUGGAGUUGCAGUCUUGGGAGCCGGUGCAGCAGAAGGUGACUUCCUCGGUGAAGAGGUUGGAGCGGCACCGGGGGCCUGAGCGAGAGCGGAACAGGCAAAGAGAGCGA